GGGGAUGUUUGGUUUCGACAGGGUCGUAGGUACGAACGUUGCACGCCGAGGUGCCCGAGGCCUCGUAAAAACGGGCAAAAAAGUAGCUGGCACUCCCAACUACGCUCUCGCUGCCUAAGUCACAGACCUCUAGGUAGCGCGUCCGUCCGGU
This 151-nucleotide transfer-messenger RNA is filed under the name Chloroflexota bacterium. Its description in RNAcentral is "partial transfer-messenger RNA". It matches the Rfam family "transfer-messenger RNA", at positions 1 to 167 of the family's 374-position model. From Rfam's summary of the family: Bacterial tmRNA, also known as 10Sa RNA or SsrA, is named for its dual tRNA and mRNA-like properties. Its role is to liberate the mRNA from a stalled ribosome. To accomplish this part of the tmRNA is used as a reading frame that ends in a translation stop signal. Lineage: Bacteria; Bacillati; Chloroflexota. The record is from RNAcentral.